AUGGAUAAUUACGCUUACAAUUCCUACGCUGAAUCCGGCGAUUCCUCCCCUCGUUCCCGCGAGAUCGAUUUCGAAAACCCUCCUCCAUGGGACGACGCUCAGCUCCAGCACCACAACUACAAGGUCAAGUUCAUGUGUAGCUAUGGCGGUAAGAUCCAUCCCCGUCCUCACGAUAACCUUCUCUCUUACGUCGGUGGCGAGACUAAGAUCUUCGCCGUCGAUCGCUCUAUCAAGUUCGCUUCCAUGAUCGCUAAGCUUUCUUCGCUUUGUGAUACUGAAGUCACCUUCAAGUACCAGCUCCCUGGUGAGGAU
RNAcentral lists this unclassified non-coding RNA (312 nucleotides) under Hevea brasiliensis (rubber tree). The record is from RNAcentral. Lineage: Eukaryota; Viridiplantae; Streptophyta; Magnoliopsida; Malpighiales; Euphorbiaceae.